Molecule: ribosomal RNA, 1371 nt
Filed under: uncultured bacterium
Lineage: Bacteria
Description: bacterial SSU rRNA
Rfam family: Bacterial small subunit ribosomal RNA
Source: RNAcentral
GAUGAACGCUGGCGGCGUGCCUAAUACAUGCAAGUCGAGCGAACGGACGAGAAGCUUGCUUCUCUGAUGUUAGCGGCGGACGGGUGAGUAACACGUGGAUAACCUACCUAUAAGACUGGGAUAACUUCGGGAAACCGGAGCUAAUACCGGAUAAUAUUUUGAACCGCAUGGUUCAAAAGUGAAAGACGGUCUUGCUGUCACUUAUAGAUGGAUCCGCGCUGCAUUAGCUAGUUGGUAAGGUAACGGCUUACCAAGGCAACGAUGCAUAGCCGACCUGAGAGGGUGAUCGGCCACACUGGAACUGAGACACGGUCCAGACUCCUACGGGAGGCAGCAGUAGGGAAUCUUCCGCAAUGGGCGAAAGCCUGACGGAGCAACGCCGCGUGAGUGAUGAAGGUCUUCGGAUCGUAAAACUCUGUUAUUAGGGAAGAACAUAUGCGUAAGUAACUGUGCACAUCUUGACGGUACCUAAUCAGAAAGCCACGGCUAACUACGUGCCAGCAGCCGCGGUAAUACGUAAGUGGCAAGCGUUAUCCGGAAUUAUUGGGCGUAAAGCGCGCGUAGCGGUUUUUUAAGUCUGAUGUGAAAGCCCACGGCUCAACCGUGGAGGGUCAUUGGAAACUGGAAAACUUGAGUGCAGAAGAGGAAAGUGGAAUUCCAUGUGUAGCGGUGAAAUGCGCAGAGAUAUGGAGGAACACCAGUGGCGAAGGCGACUUUCUGGUCUGUAACUGACGCUGAUGUGCGAAAGCGUGGGGAUCAAACAGGAUUAGAUACCCUGGUAGUCCACGCCGUAAACGAUGAGUGCUAAGUGUUAGGGGGUUUCCGCCCCUUAGUGCUGCAGCUAACGCAUUAAGCACUCCGCCUGGGGAGUACGACCGCAAGGUUGAAACUCAAAGGAAUUGACGGGGACCCGCACAAGCGGUGGAGCAUGUGGUUUAAUUCGAAGCAACGCGAAGAACCUUACCAAAUCUUGACAUCCUUUGACAACUCUAGAGAUAGAGCCUUCCCCUUCGGGGGACAAAGUGACAGGUGGUGCAUGGUUGUCGUCAGCUCGUGUCGUGAGAUGUUGGGUUAAGUCCCGCAACGAGCGCAACCCUUAAGCUUAGUUGCCAUCAUUAAGUUGGGCACUCUAAGUUGACUGCCGGUGACAAACCGGAGGAAGGUGGGGAUGACGUCAAAUCAUCAUGCCCCUUAUGAUUUGGGCUACACACGUGCUACAAUGGACAAUACAAAGGGCAGCGAAACCGCGAGGUCAAGCAAAUCCCAUAAAGUUGUUCUCAGUUCGGAUUGUAGUCUGCAACUCGACUACAUGAAGCUGGAAUCGCUAGUAAUCGUAGAUCAGCAUGCUACGGUGAAUACGUUCCCGGGUCU